This 433-nucleotide ribosomal RNA is filed under the name uncultured bacterium. RNAcentral's name for it is "partial 16S ribosomal RNA". It matches the Rfam family "Bacterial small subunit ribosomal RNA", at positions 29 to 507 of the family's 1533-position model. The record is from RNAcentral.
AACGAACGCUGGCGGCAUGCCUAACACAUGCAAGUCGAACGAGACCUUCGGGUCUAGUGGCGCACGGGUGCGUAACGCGUGAGAACCUGCGCUUAGGGUGGGAAUAACUCCCCGAAAGGGGUGCUAAUACCGGAUAAUGUCUUCGGACCAAAGAUUUAUCGCCUUUGGAUGGGCCCGCGUUGGAUUAGCUAGUUGGUAGGGUAAAAGCCUACCAAGGCGACGAUCCAUAGCUGGUCUGAGAGGAUGAUCAGCGACAAUGGGACUGAGACACGGCGCAGACUCCUACGGGAGGCAGCAGUGGGGAAUAUUGGACAAUGGGCGAAAGCCUGAUACAGCAAUGCCGGGUGAGUGAUGAAGGCUUUAGGGUUGUAAAGCUCUUUUACCCGGGAUGAUAAUGACAGUACCGGGAGAAUAAGCGCCGGCUAACUCCGUG